UUUCCGUAGGUGAACCUGCGGAAGGAUCAUUGUCGCC
RNAcentral lists this ribosomal RNA (37 nucleotides) under Kingiodendron pinnatum. RNAcentral describes it as "partial 18S ribosomal RNA". Lineage: Eukaryota; Viridiplantae; Streptophyta; Magnoliopsida; Fabales; Fabaceae. RNAcentral also lists the same sequence under 1 other name. The record is from RNAcentral.